GACUUUCAAUGUCCUUUCCCAUGAUACAUCACACCUGCUUGUGUGUUUACAGACUAUGGGCAACAGCAAGUGAAGACAGCACUCAUUAUAUUCUUAUUCUGUCAGGUCGGAAACUUCUCCAUCAACAUCACUCUACGCAACCUCAAAUGUCCAGGUUCGAAGGUCAAGAAGAUCCCACACCCAACUAAGAAUCCAUUCACCUGGAUCUUCGCGUUGGUGUCUUGUCCCAACUAUACAUACGAGCUGGGGUCAUGGAUGGGCUUCACAGUGAUGACCCAGUGCUUGCCGGUGGCUUUCUUCACCAUCGUGGGCUUUGUCCUGAUGACGGUGUGGGCCAGGGGAAAGCACCGAAACUACCGCAAGGAGUUCCGUGACUACCCCACCCUGCGCUCCCCUAUACUGCCCUUCAUCCUUUAGUCAGAGAGGGGCUGGUCCCACACAUAACUUCACCCCUUUCAGCCCCACUGCAGUAUACAGCUGGUGCUUCUGACUGGGUAGGUUGGAAGGAGUCGUUGGAAUAGUUUAACUACACUGUGACUGGUUUUGGGGAGUUGAAAACCCCUUUGAUGACUUAAAUGCAGAUGAGUCUUAAUCUGAUGUAAUGUGUACUACCGGUAUCUACUGUACAUGUCAAUGUGUGGAGGCACAAAUGAAUGGAAAGAAAUACACUUGUUUUACUAAAGUGGUGACUUAACUGUCGACGAAAC
Long non-coding RNA from Oncorhynchus nerka (sockeye salmon), 707 nucleotides. RefSeq lists it as uncharacterized. The transcript has 4 exons. NCBI's taxonomy places the organism in Eukaryota, Metazoa, Chordata, Actinopteri, Salmoniformes, Salmonidae. The record is from RefSeq and is a predicted model, not a curated record.